RNAcentral lists this ribosomal RNA (396 nucleotides) under Culicoides enderleini. RNAcentral describes it as "partial 16S ribosomal RNA". Lineage: Eukaryota; Metazoa; Arthropoda; Insecta; Diptera; Ceratopogonidae. The record is from RNAcentral.
CCUGACCGUGUAAGGUAGCAUAAUCAUUUGUCUUUUAAUUAAAGGCUUGUAUGAAUGGUUGGAUGAGAUAUAAUCUAUUUUUAUUUAAUUAAAAAUGAAUUUUAAUUUUUAGUAAAAAUGCUAAAAUAAAAAAUAUAGACGAGAAGACCCUAUAAAUCUUUAUUAUUUUUUUAUUAAUUUAUUAAUAGAAGAAAAAAUUUAUUAUUAGAAAAAUAAUUUUAUUGGGGUGAUAAUGAAAUUUAAUAAACUUUUAUUUUAUUUUAUAAAUAUAAUUAAUUUAAUGAUCCAUUUUUAAUGAUUAUAAAAUUAAGUUACUUUAGGGAUAACAGCGUAAUUAUUUUAAAGAGUUCAUAUCGAUAAAAUAGUUUGCGGACCUCGAUGUUGAAUUAAGUAGUA